Molecule: transfer RNA, 73 nt
Filed under: Bacteroidota bacterium
Lineage: Bacteria; Pseudomonadati; Bacteroidota
Also listed under: 1 other name
Description: Bacteroidetes bacterium tRNA-Ile
Rfam family: tRNA
About the family: Transfer RNA (tRNA) molecules are approximately 80 nucleotides in length. Their secondary structure includes four short double-helical elements and three loops (D, anti-codon, and T loops).
Source: RNAcentral
GGACCCGUAGCUCAGUGGUUAGAGCAGGGGACUCAUAAUCUCUUGGUCGCAGGUUCAAACCCUGCCGGGUCUA